GAUGAUCGACCGAUCGAUCUUUAUGUGUAACAAGGUGAAGGCGAGAGAGAGUAAAAUGUUUUUCUCUAUGUGUUUUUCUUGGAUAUGCGAGAGAAAGAUGAUGAAGAAAGUUUGUUUUGUCUUUUUUAACUUUUUCUCCUUGGACACAUGUCAGAUAACUAUUAGGGAGUUUUUAGUGAUUUUGAAUUGGAAAAUUUGUCCUCCCCUCUGUCCAGCACUUUGCUUUCUCCUUCUCUAUUUUUUUUUUAUAUAUUUAC
Molecule: long non-coding RNA, 257 nt
Filed under: Lathyrus oleraceus (garden pea)
Lineage: Eukaryota; Viridiplantae; Streptophyta; Magnoliopsida; Fabales; Fabaceae
Description: Pisum sativum (pea) long non-coding RNA (PSAT_LNC017605)
Source: RNAcentral